CCGACGGGUGAGUAACACGCAUCCAACCUGCCGUCUACUCUUGGCCAGCCUUCUGAAAGGAAGAUUAAUCCAGGAUGGCAUCAUGAGUUCACAUGUCCGCAUGAUUAAAGGUAUUUUCCGGUAGACGAUGGGGAUGCGUUCCAUUAGAUAGUAGGCGGGGUAACGGCCCACCUAGUCAACGAUGGAUAGGGGUUCUGAGAGGAGGGUCCCCCACAUUGGAACUGAGACACGGUCCAA
This 237-nucleotide ribosomal RNA is filed under the name uncultured bacterium. RNAcentral's name for it is "partial 16S ribosomal RNA". It matches the Rfam family "Bacterial small subunit ribosomal RNA", at positions 102 to 334 of the family's 1533-position model. The record is from RNAcentral.